UACGUAGGUGGCAAGCGUUAUCCGGAAUUAUUGGGCGUAAAGAGCGCGCAGGUGGUUGAUUAAGUCUGAUGUGAAAGCCCACGGCUUAACCGUGGAGGGUCAUUGGAAACUGGUCGACUUGAGUGCAGAAGAGGGAAGUGGAAUUCCAUGUGUAGCGGUGAAAUGCGUAGAGAUAUGGGGGAACACCAGUGGCGAAGGCGGCUUCCUGGUCUGUAACUGACACUGAGGCGCGAAAGCGUGGGGAGCAAACAGGAUUAGAUACCCCGGUA
Molecule: ribosomal RNA, 269 nt
Filed under: uncultured prokaryote
Description: partial 16S ribosomal RNA
Rfam family: Bacterial small subunit ribosomal RNA
Source: RNAcentral